Molecule: transfer RNA, 72 nt
Filed under: Candidatus Falkowbacteria bacterium RIFOXYC2_FULL_48_21
Lineage: Bacteria; Candidatus Falkowiibacteriota
Description: tRNA-Arg
Rfam family: tRNA
About the family: Transfer RNA (tRNA) molecules are approximately 80 nucleotides in length. Their secondary structure includes four short double-helical elements and three loops (D, anti-codon, and T loops).
Source: RNAcentral
GUCCCCGUAGUUCAACGGAUAGAACGAGGCCCUCCUAAAGCCUAGAAGUAGGUUCAAUUCCUGCCGGGGACA